RNAcentral lists this ribosomal RNA (449 nucleotides) under uncultured bacterium. RNAcentral describes it as "SSU rRNA". It matches the Rfam family "Bacterial small subunit ribosomal RNA", at positions 26 to 518 of the family's 1533-position model. The record is from RNAcentral.
AGGAUGAACGCUGGCGGUCUGCUUAACACAUGCAAGUCGAACGGAGUACCUCGGUACUUAGUGGCGGACGGGUGAGUAACGCGUGAGAAUCUGCCCUUAGGUCGGGGACAACCAUUGGAAACGAUGGCUAAAUACCGGAUAAGCCGAGAGGUAAAAGAUUAAUUGCCUAGGGAAGAGCUCGCGUCUGAUUAGCUAGUUGGUGAGGUAAAGGCUCACCAAGGCAUCGAUCAGUAGCUGGUCUGAGAGGAUGAUCAGCCACACUGGGACUGAGACACGGCCCAGACUCCUACGGGAGGCAGCAGUGGGGAAUUUUCCGCAAUGGGCGAAAGCCUGACGGAGCAAGACCGCGUGAGGGAGGAAGGCUCUUGGGUUGUAAACCUCUUUUCUUGGGAAGAACAAAUGACGGUACCCAAGGAAUCAGCAUCGGCUAACUCCGUGCCAGCAGCCGC